UGCAGUCGAGCGCGCCCUUCGGGGUGAGCGGCGGACGGGUGAGUAACGCGUGGGAAUAUGCCCUUCUCUAAGGAAUAGCCUCUGGAAACGGAGAGUAAUACCUUAUACGCCCUUUGGGGGAAAGAUUUAUCGGAGAAGGAUUAGCCCGCGUUAGAUUAGGUAGUUGGUGGGGUAAUGGCCUACCAAGCCUACGAUCUAUAGCUGGUUUGAGAGGAUGAUCAGCCACACUGGGACUGAGACACGGCCCAGACUCCUACGGGAGGCAGCAGUAGGGAAUCUUAGACAAUGGGGGCAACCCUGAUCUAGCCAUGCCGCGUGUGUGAUGAAGGCCCUAGGGUCGUAAAGCACUUUCGCCAGAGAUGAUAAUGACAGUAUCUGGUAAAGAAACCCCGGCUAACUCCGUGCCAGCAGCCGCGGUAAUACGGAGGGGGUUAGCGUUGUUCGGAAUUACUGGGCGUAAAGCGCACGUAGGCGGAUUAGUAAGUUAGAGGUGAAAUCCCAGGGCUCAACCCUGGAACUGCCUUUAAUACUGCUAGUCUUGAGUUCGAGAGAGGUAAGUGGAAUUCC
Molecule: ribosomal RNA, 567 nt
Filed under: uncultured bacterium
Lineage: Bacteria
Description: bacterial SSU rRNA
Rfam family: Bacterial small subunit ribosomal RNA
Source: RNAcentral